RNAcentral lists this ribosomal RNA (120 nucleotides) under uncultured bacterium. Its description in RNAcentral is "partial 16S ribosomal RNA". It matches the Rfam family "Bacterial small subunit ribosomal RNA", at positions 28 to 146 of the family's 1533-position model. The record is from RNAcentral.
GACGAACGCUGGCGGCGUGCUUAACACAUGCAAGUCGAACGGUGAACCUCCCUUCGGGGAGGGGAUCAGUGGCGAACGGGUGAGUAACACGUGAGCAACCUGCCCCUAGUUCUGGGAUAA